Molecule: long non-coding RNA, 232 nt
Filed under: Mytilus galloprovincialis (Mediterranean mussel)
Lineage: Eukaryota; Metazoa; Mollusca; Bivalvia; Mytilida; Mytilidae
Source: RNAcentral
AACGUGUUUAACCAACGUGUUUAACUAACCAACCAACGUGUUUAACCAACCAACAAACCAAUCAAUCAAUGCAUGUUUCCGUUUCAUGUGUUUCAUACGGGAUCCAAGGUUUUUUUUUCGCUUGUUUUAAUUGAGCCUAUCCAACCAACGUGUUUAACCAACGUGUUUAACCAACAUGUUUAACCAAAGUGUUUAACUAACCAACCAACGUGUUUAACCAACCAACCAACCA